UGUAUUCACAACUGUAAGUUGCUCUGGAUAAGAGCGUCUGCUAAAUGACAAUGU
This is a non-coding RNA of Salmo salar (Atlantic salmon), 54 nucleotides long. The record is from Rfam. NCBI's taxonomy places the organism in Eukaryota, Metazoa, Chordata, Actinopteri, Salmoniformes, Salmonidae.